Molecule: ribosomal RNA, 256 nt
Filed under: uncultured bacterium
Lineage: Bacteria
Description: partial 16S ribosomal RNA
Rfam family: Bacterial small subunit ribosomal RNA
Source: RNAcentral
UACGUAGGGACCAAGCGUUGUUCGGAUUUACUGGGCGUAAAGGGCGCGUAGGCGGCGCGGUAAGUCACUUGUGAAAUCUCUGAGCUUAACUCAGAACGGCCAAGUGAUACUGCAGUGCUAGAGUGUGGAAGGGGCAAUCGGAAAUUCUUGGUGUAGCGGUGAAAUGCGUAGAUAUCAAGAGGAACACCUGAGGUGAAGACGGGUUGCUGGGCCAACACUGACGCUGAUGCGCGAAAGCCCAGGGGGAGCAAACAGG